RNAcentral lists this ribosomal RNA (1372 nucleotides) under uncultured bacterium. RNAcentral's name for it is "bacterial SSU rRNA". It matches the Rfam family "Bacterial small subunit ribosomal RNA", at positions 28 to 1381 of the family's 1533-position model. The record is from RNAcentral.
GAUGAACGCUGGCGGCGUGCCUAAUACAUGCAAGUCGAGCGAACGGACGAGAAGCUUGCUUCUCUGAUGUUAGCGGCGGACGGGUGAGUAACACGUGGAUAACCUACCUAUAAGACUGGGAUAACUUCGGGAAACCGGAGCUAAUACCGGAUAAUAUUUUGAACCGCAUGGUUCAAAAGUGAAAGACGGUCUUGCUGUCACUUAUAGAUGGAUCCGCGCUGCAUUAGCUAGUUGGUAAGGUAACGGCUUACCAAGGCAACGAUGCAUAGCCGACCUGAGAGGGUGAUCGGCCACACUGGAACUGAGACACGGUCCAGACUCCUACGGGAGGCAGCAGUAGGGAAUCUUCCGCAAUGGGCGAAAGCCUGACGGAGCAACGCCGCGUGAGUGAUGAAGGUCUUCGGAUCGUAAAACUCUGUUAUUAGGGAAGAACAUAUGUGUAAGUAACUGUGCACAUCUUGACGGUACCUAAUCAGAAAGCCACGGCUAACUACGUGCCAGCAGCCGCGGUAAUACGUAGGUGGCAAGCGUUAUCCGGAAUUAUUGGGCGUAAAGCGCGCGUAGGCGGUUUUUUAAGUCUGAUGUGAAAGCCCACGGCUCAACCGUGGAGGGUCAUUGGAAACUGGAAAACUUGAGUGCAGAAGAGGAAAGUGGAAUUCCAUGUGUAGCGGUGAAAUGCGCAGAGAUAUGGAGGAACACCAGUGGCGAAGGCGACUUUCUGGUCUGCAACUGACGCUGAUGUGCGAAAGCGUGGGGAUCAAACAGGAUUAGAUACCCUGGUAGUCCACGCCGUAAACGAUGAGUGCUAAGUGUUAGGGGGUUUCCGCCCCUUAGUGCUGCAGCUAACGCAUUAAGCACUCCGCCUGGGGAGUACGACCGCAAGGUUGAAACUCAAAGGAAUUGACGGGGACCCGCACAAGCGGUGGAGCAUGUGGUUUAAUUCGAAGCAACGCGAAGAACCUUACCAAAUCUUGACAUCCUUUGACAACUCUAGAGAUAGAGCCUUCCCCUUCGGGGGGCAAAGUGACAGGUGGUGCAUGGUUGUCGUCAGCUCGUGUCGUGAGAUGUUGGGUUAAGUCCCGCAACGAGCGCAACCCUUAAGCUUAGUUGCCAUCAUUAAGUUGGGCACUCUAAGUUGACUGCCGGUGACAAACCGGAGGAAGGUGGGGAUGACGUCAAAUCAUCAUGCCCCUUAUGAUUUGGGCUACACACGUGCUACAAUGGACAAUACAAAGGGCAGCGAAACCGCGAGGUCAAGCAAAUCCCAUAAAGUUGUUCUCAGUUCGGAUUGUAGUCUGCAACUCGACUACAUGAAGCUGGAAUCGCUAGUAAUCGUAGAUCAGCAUGCUACGGUGAAUACGUUCCCGGGUCU